GACGAACGCUGGCGGCGUGCUUAACACAUGCAAGUCGAACGGAAAGGCCCUGCUUUUGUGGGGUGCUCGAGUGGCGAACGGGUGAGUAACACGUGAGUAACCUGCCCUUGACUUUGGGAUAACUUCAGGAAACUGGGGCUAAUACCGGAUAGGAGCGCCUGCUGCAUGGUGGGGGUUGGAAAGUUUCGGCGGUUUGGGAUGGACUCGCGGCUUAUCAGCUUGUUGGUGGGGGAGUGGCUUACCAAGGCCUUGACGGGUAGCCCGCCUGAGAGGGUGACCGGCCCCCUUGGGACUGAGAUACGGCCCAGACUCCUACGGGAGGCAGCAGUGGGGAAUAUUGCACAAUGGGCGGAAGCCUGAUGCAGCAACGCCGCGUGCGGGAUGACGGCCUUCGGGUUGUAAACCGCUUUCGCCUGUGACGAAGCGUGAGUGACGGUAAUGGGUAAAGAAGCACCGGCUAACUACGUG
Molecule: ribosomal RNA, 468 nt
Filed under: uncultured bacterium
Lineage: Bacteria
Description: partial 16S ribosomal RNA
Rfam family: Bacterial small subunit ribosomal RNA
Source: RNAcentral